Molecule: ribosomal RNA, 442 nt
Filed under: uncultured bacterium
Lineage: Bacteria
Description: partial 16S ribosomal RNA
Rfam family: Bacterial small subunit ribosomal RNA
Source: RNAcentral
CUACGGGUCGCAGCAGUCGGGGAUAUUGCACAAUGGAGGAAACUCUGAUGCAGCGACGCCGCGUGAACGAAGAAGGCCUUCGGGUCGUAAAGUUCUGAUGUGAGAGAAGAAGAUAGUGACGGUAUCUCACCAGCAAGCACCGGCUAACUACGUGCCAGCAGCCGCGGUAAUAUCGUAGGGUGCAAGCGUUGUCCGGAAUUACUGGGCGUAAAGGGAGCGUAGGUGGUUAUAUAAGUCUUUAGUAAAAGGCAUUGGCUCAACCAAUGUAGGCUAGAGAAACUAUAUAACUUGAGUACAGUAGAGGUAAGUGGAAUUCCUAGUGUAGCGGUGAAAUGCGUAGAUAUUAAGAGGAACACCAGUGGCGAAGGCGACUUACUGGGCUGUAACUGACACUGAGGCUCGAAAGCGUGGGGAGCAAACAGGAUUAGAUACCCUCGUAGUC